GACUUUUUCCGUUCGGCCUCGUCGGUUUUGGCCAGAUGCCUUGUAGUAGGUCCUGCCAUCCUCGACGGCUGGCUAGUUAACCGCGGCGAUUCAGUCAAGCUCCAGCCUCCGUUCACAAAGGAGCCCGAUGCUGCUGCGCUCUCCCCAGAAUCCAGAGUCGAGCACCGCGUUCGCAUAGCAUCGCAUCGCAUCGCGUCCGUGUGCGUAAGCGUGUGUGAGUGUGUCAGUGGGUGAACACAGUGCGUAUGAGAUACUUUUCGGUGGCCGAGGCAUCCCAAAGCGAACCGGUGGAACGUUAAUUGUUCAGCUGCCAGCAGGGCCAAGUAAACAAAAAGAAAACGAUUCGAAAAACUCGGUAAAAGGAUUUAAAUUUCUAACAAUAUUAAACAGAUAAGCACGGCAUAUGCUAAGGCUGAAAAUAAAAGACAAGGCAGUCGCUUAAAAAAAGCCUCAACAUCAACCGGAAAUCAACGAAAUUGUCGUCACUCCAAUCAAGUGGAAAUUUGAUUAAAAAAACGUGAGGAGGAGUGAAAACCCCAAACGAAGAAUAGAAAGGACGGGAAACGAAAAUUUGAUAAAUUUCAAAAAGGACGAAGGCAAUGGACGAGUUUGAAAAGGAAGCGUCGGGAAAAUAGAGAGGACGUCGGUGCGAGUAUAUCAAAAGGUAGCAGCGGAGGAAAUCAACACGCACGCACAUGAACGAGUUUGUUGCACGGGCACGGGCACACCGAAAAACAUUAAAAACCAACGGAGCGUAAAACUUACACAAUCCUUGCAACAAAAAACCCACGUGGAUGUAAAAAAAAAGGAACAGAAACUCGAAGCAAAUGCGAGUUACAAUAAAAAUAAAAACAAAGCGGGUGGAGUAGCCAAGUGAGAGAACAAUUUUUAGUGGAAAAAAUUAAAAGAUUUCGCCUGGAAAAGCAGAGAAAAAUAAAGCACAGGCCCCAACGCCACUACAAUGAGAAGCAGGAUGAAGCAGCUGACGGCCAGGACACAUAAACGUCUUUUUCUUGCCUAAUACGCUCUCCGUUGGGGUAGAGCACGAAAUUAAGUGCAGAUUAUCAGAAGAUUAUAUUUUAAUAGCAUUUCAAGCUGUUUCCUUUCGCCAACAAAGGCAGACAGGACAGCGAGGACCUCGCCGCCGCAGAGACAAGAAAGGGAACUGAACGGACGAAGGCUGACCCUAGUGUGUGUGUUCUACAAGUGCGGCUUAUUGCAUGAUUACCGUCAAGAUUUUUUGCGAGCCUCCGUCUGCUGGAAGGAGAGUGUCAAACAUACAAGCGUGCCACAAAUUGAAAUUAAAGAAGGAAUUACGUGUCGCGAGUGCGCUCCAGUGCGGGCUUAAUAAAUACUUGUGCUAGUGUUCGUGAGUGUUUGCAGAAAACCCAACAAAUAUCAAGUAUACGCCGUGAGGUCCGGGCGUGAGAAAGCAAGGAAGUCAUCAACAGAAUUAACCCGCCUGGCCGAAGAGAAGAGGAGACUCUGAGAAGCGGCAAGUGGAGCGUGAGGCCAAACUAAACAGGAGGUAAGUUGGACAAACA
Drosophila bipectinata is the source of this 1544-nucleotide non-coding RNA. The record is from RefSeq and is a predicted model, not a curated record. Lineage: Eukaryota; Metazoa; Arthropoda; Insecta; Diptera; Drosophilidae.